Molecule: ribosomal RNA, 404 nt
Filed under: Priestia megaterium
Lineage: Bacteria; Bacillati; Bacillota; Bacilli; Caryophanales; Bacillaceae
Also listed under: 1 other name
Description: bacterial LSU rRNA
Rfam family: Bacterial large subunit ribosomal RNA
Source: RNAcentral
CCUCGAUGUCGGCUCAUCGCAUCCUGGGGCUGUAGUCGGUCCCAAGGGUUGGGCUGUUCGCCCAUUAAAGCGGUACGCGAGCUGGGUUCAGAACGUCGUGAGACAGUUCGGUCCCUAUCCGUCGUGGGCGUAGGAAAUUUGAGAGGAGCUGUCCUUAGUACGAGAGGACCGGGAUGGACACACCGCUGGUGUACCAGUUGUCUUGCCAAAGGCAUCGCUGGGUAGCUAUGUGUGGACGGGAUAAGUGCUGAAAGCAUCUAAGCAUGAAGCCCCCCUCAAGAUGAGAUUUCCCAUAGCGCAAGCUAGUAAGAUCCCUGAAAGAUGAUCAGGUUGAUAGGUCAGAGGUGGAAGCGUGGCGACAUGUGUAGCUGACUGAUACUAAUCGAUCGAGGACUUAACCAAAC